AACAUGGCUCAGAACGAAACGCUGGCGGCAGGCCUAACACAUGCAAGUCGAACGCCCCGCAAGGGGAGUGGCAGACGGGUGAGUAACACGUGGGAACGUGCCCUUCGGUUCGGGAUAACUCAGGGAAAACUUGGGCUAAUACCGGAUACGUGCGAGAGCAGAAAAGAUUUAUCGCCGAAGGAUCGGGCCCGCGUCCCGGAUUUAGCCUAGUUUGGGUGAAGGGUAAAUGGGCUCACCAAAGGGCGGACGAAUCGGGUAAGGCUGGGUUCUGAAGAGGGAAUGAAUCAAGCCCAACAACUGGGGAACUGAAGAACAACGGGGCCCCAAGAACUUCUCUAACGGGGAAGGGCAAGCAAGUGGGGGGAAAUAUUUGGGAACAAAUGGGGCGGCAAUAGGCCCUUGAAUCCCAAGCCCAAUGGCCGGCGGUGGAUUUGAUUGAAGGGCCCCUAGGGGGUUUGUAAACUCCCUUCGCCCAGAACGGAUUAUUGAACGGCUUAACCCUUGAUUUGUAGCUCCCCCCGGCCCUAUUUCC
This 532-nucleotide ribosomal RNA is filed under the name uncultured bacterium. RNAcentral describes it as "partial 16S ribosomal RNA". It matches the Rfam family "Bacterial small subunit ribosomal RNA", at positions 16 to 472 of the family's 1533-position model. The record is from RNAcentral.